Molecule: long non-coding RNA, 2427 nt
Filed under: Mus musculus (house mouse)
Lineage: Eukaryota; Metazoa; Chordata; Mammalia; Rodentia; Muridae
Description: long non-coding RNA chr11:62329472-62331899
Source: RNAcentral
AGAGACUCUAGGACCUGGUCUGGGAUGCAAGACAGUCUGAGACUGUGAUUCUGGGCUGUAGCGGCUUGAGGUUUUAGUUCUUACAGGUGUGGAUGACAAAGCAGAUGGUGAAGUUUGGAAUGUAGAAGUAGAAGGCUGCGAGGGAACUUGAUUUCUAGCAAAAUCUUGUGUGAUAAUUUGCUGUAAAUGAGAAGCGGAGGAAGUCAUAAAGCUGUUAAAUACCCGCCAAGAGAGCUCCCUGUGAACUCAGCUUCUUGUUCUGCAUUCUCUGUGUGUUUCAUUCUGAGUACAAAACAGCCUUAGACUCAGCAGUAGUCCUGCCUCAAAGUCCCGACUGAUGGGAUAUGUGCCCCCAUGCCAGCUUAACCUAAAUAUCUUUGCUAGGAUUUUCUUGUGUUUUUAAAAACAAACAAAAAAAAAAAAACCAAAAAAAAAAAAACCAAAAAACUGCUUUCUGCAUAAUAAUAAUAAUAGCAACAACAACAGAAGUAGAGAAGACUUACACAGAUGUGGUCAGCAAGUGUGAUCAGUCGAUGGGUCCUGGGCACCUGUCCCAUUCCCUCUGACUGGGAAGAUGGGGGCAGUGGUGGCUGUUGCUGUGGAGAUGGUGAUUCCUGCUGGGACCGAUAAUGAUGCAGUGGACCUUCAUACUGUCGAGUGGACUCAUCUAAUAGACGGUAGGUAGAUACAUUAUCCUAAGGAUGCUACUGGCCCACACUCAGUAUAACUCAGAAAAACGUAAGAUAUGCACCAAUACACAUAAUUUAUGUAUUUAUAUCUAGAAACAAAAAAAACCCACUGAUUUAUUCUACUAGUUUUCAUGCUUCUGAGUGUAGAAGUGAGCAGAAUUUUCAGCCAUUUUCCUACAUGUGUAUAUGCACACAUGUUUGUUAGAGUGAGUGUGCACAUGCAGGCAAAGGCUGCUUGCUGUCAGUCUCUUUCCUCUAUUGCUGUCUGCCUUUCUAUUUUUGAGACAAGGUCUCUUGGUGAACCUGAAGCUCAUGGAUUGGCUAGCUAGUGAGUGGAAGGGAUCUACCAUUCACACUCCCUGCACCUCUUGCUCCAGUGCUGGGGCUACAGGGCUGGAUUCUUGGUAUCCAAAUUCAGGUCCUCAUGCUUGUGUACCAGUUACUUUAGAUCUAUUUUCAAUAAACUAUGCACAAAAGAGUAACAAUAGUUUAAUAGUGUAUUUUGUUAGUACAGCUUUAAGUGUUUCUAGAGUAGAUUACUCUGCAACAAGUUAAUCUUACCAUGGCCUAGACAGGAAACUAGAAGCAAAUGUUAAUGCAAAUAAGAAACACAGAAGUGGCAAAACAGACAUACUUUCUGCUUGAUUUGCCUUAACCAUGUCUGGCUGAUAGGCCUGUGGCUUUUCCUGGGGUGGUGCAGGUGAGCUGGCGGGACUUAUCACCUCAAUGGCAUCACUAGCCGUUUCAUACCUGUGAGAAGACACUUUAAGAAAAGAACCUCAUUUUAAAAUAAAUCCAUGGAAAGUUUCAAAGUCCAAGUUAUUCAAAGCUAUUUGCAUAUUUUAGGGUUUUUUGAUUCUGCUAAAGAGAAGUCCAGUAGCAUUCCAUACUAGCAAUAAAAUCAAACUCAAUCCGACUCAAUAGACUGUUAAAGCUGCCCUUGUGCAAAGCUUGCAGGGUUUUACAGCAUGAGAUGAAACAGAAUUAAAAACAUAUUUGUAAUAAGCCCAUGGGAGCCCGAAAUAAACCCUGGGCUAACAUCAUCAGAGGAGAUUAGUAAGUAAGUAAGGGGUAGAUCUCAACAGUUGAUUCCAAUAUUCCCAUUUCUGUGGAACAAUCUGAUCUUAGCAAAACAGACCACAGAGCUGGUUCACUGCCAAGACUGUUACUGCUUAUAAAGCACUAGAGUGAGAGAGCGCCCUGUCCGUCUUCGAGCCAUCACAGUUGUGGUGUUGACCAGCUAGGAGCCAAUUCAAAACGGGAUGUUGAGAAAGACAAGAUUUUUGUUCAGAUGUGUGCCCAGUGCCACACUGUGGGAAGGGCAGCAAGCAUAAUACUAGAUUGAAUCUCUAUGGUGUAUUUGGGCAGAAGAUAGGUCAAGCUGCAAGACUGACUUACAAAGAUGCCAACAAGAAGAAAGGCAUCACCUGGAGAGAGGACACCCUGACGGAGUGUUUGGAGAACCCUAAAAAGGGACACCCCUGGAACAAACAUUAUCUUCGCUGAAGUUAAGAGGGUGGUAGAGGGCAGACCUAAGAGCUAAUCCUUCAAAAGUUAUCAGUCACUAAUUCUGCCACCUUAUUACAAAACAAAUGUUUCAUGGCUUUCAAUGUGUGUCAUAAUUUAAUUUGUAAAAACCGAAAUUAACAUCAUGUGUGGCUAACAAUGUUUUUGUUGGACAGUCCUGAUUUUAGUAAAACUGAUGUGUGGCAAAAAAAUAAAAAUAAUGAUUUUUCUC